GCUGGGUGCAAUGGCUCACACCUGUAAUCUCAGCUACUCAGGAGGCUGAGGUGGGAGGAUGGGUUGAGCCCAGGAGUUCAGGCUAUUGUGUGUUAUGAUUGCACCUAUGAAUUGCCACUGCACUCCAGCCUGGGCAAUAUAGUCAGACCCCUUCUCUA
Callithrix jacchus (white-tufted-ear marmoset) is the source of this 158-nucleotide unclassified non-coding RNA. It matches the Rfam family "Metazoan signal recognition particle RNA". Rfam says of the family: The signal recognition particle (SRP) is a universally conserved ribonucleoprotein. The record is from Ensembl. NCBI's taxonomy places the organism in Eukaryota, Metazoa, Chordata, Mammalia, Primates, Cebidae.